GAUGAACGCUGGCGGCGUGCCUAAUACAUGCAAGUCGAGCGAAUGGAUUAAGAGCUUGCUCUUAUGAAGUUAGCGGCGGACGGGUGAGUAACACGUGGGUAACCUGCCCAUAAGACUGGGAUAACUCCGGGAAACCGGGGCUAAUACCGGACAACACUUUGAACCGCAUGGUUCGAAAUUGAAAGGCGGCUUCGGCUGUCACUUAUGGAUGGACCCGGGUCGCAUUAGCUAGUUGGUGAGGUAACGGCUCACCAAGGCAACGGUGCGUAGCCGACCUGAGAGGGUGAUCGGCCACACUGGGACUGAGACACGGCCCAGACUCCGACGGGAGGCAGCAGUAGGGAAUCUUCCGCAAUGGACGAAAGUCUGACGGAGCAACGCCGCGUGAGUGAUGAAGGCUUUCGGGUCGUAAAACUCUGUUGUUAGGGAAGAACAAGUGCUAGUUGAAUAAGCUGGCACCUUGACGGUACCUAACCAGAAAGCCACGGCUAACUACGUGCCAGCAGCCGCGGUAA
This 515-nucleotide ribosomal RNA is filed under the name uncultured bacterium. RNAcentral describes it as "partial 16S ribosomal RNA". It matches the Rfam family "Bacterial small subunit ribosomal RNA", at positions 28 to 523 of the family's 1533-position model. The record is from RNAcentral.